This 503-nucleotide ribosomal RNA is filed under the name uncultured bacterium. Its description in RNAcentral is "partial 16S ribosomal RNA". It matches the Rfam family "Bacterial small subunit ribosomal RNA", at positions 30 to 523 of the family's 1533-position model. The record is from RNAcentral.
AUUGAACGCUGGCGGCAGGCUUAACACAUGCAAGUCGAGCGGGGUGAUGGUGCUUGCACUAUCACUUAGCGGCGGACGGGUGAGUAAUGCUUAGGAAUCUGCCUAUUAGUGGGGGACAACAUCUCGAAAGGGAUGCUAAUACCGCAUACGUCCUACGGGAGAAAGCAGGGGAUCACUUGUGACCUUGCGCUAAUAGAUGAGCCUAAGUCGGAUUAGCUAGGUGGUGGGGUAAAGGCCUACCAAGGCGACGAUCUGUAGCGGGUCUGAGAGGAUGAUCCGCCACAGUGGGACUGAGACACGGCCCAGACUCCUACGGGAGGCAGCAGUGGGGAAGAUUGGACAAUGGGGGGAACCCUGAUCCAGCCAUGCCGCGUGUGUGAAGAAGGCCUUAUGGUUGUAAAGCACUUUAAGCGAGGAGGAGGCUCUUUUGGUUAAUACCCAAGAUGAGUGGACGUUACUCGCAGAAUAAGCACCGGCUAACUCUGUGCCAGCAGCCGCCGCCG